This 91-nucleotide ribosomal RNA is filed under the name uncultured bacterium. Its description in RNAcentral is "partial 16S ribosomal RNA". The record is from RNAcentral.
UAAACCUCUGUCAGGAGUUAUGAACGGUGGGGGCGCUAAUAUCGCCUCCGCAUGACCAAGGCUCCAAAGGAAGCCACGGCUAACUACGUGC